CGAGGGUGGGUCAUCGUAGGACGCAAUCCGCGUCCGGAGAGGACGCCCACGACUCUUUCAUUCAUUUCGUAAAGGAAGAAAUUUCUCUCACAGAACUCUCCGCCGCUCUUUUGAUUAUUAUUUAUCUAUCGUUCUCCUCCUUUUAUUUUACGAGGAUAAACAAAAAAUAAAAUAAAAUAAUAAAUAGUCGAAAAUGGCAUCAAAAGCUUGGACGAUGCCUCCUCUAUCUUCGAAAGGCAUGGCGAAAUCAGCAACCCAAACCCCUCGGAGAUUGCAUACAGAGGCUUCCUCUGUCAAGAAGAAGAAUCUCACUCACUCAAUCGAGUUGCAGAGAGUCUCUCCAUAUUCUGCAGUAAUAGCCUCCAAAGAUUCUCACCCACCCGCUGCUGAGCAUUUGUCGGACUCGGUUGCUAGUCAUGGUUCUCGUCUCCGAGUUGCAUACCAGGGUGUUCCUGGUGCAUACAGUGAAUCAGCAGCUGCCAAGGCCUACCCAAAUUGUGAAGCAGUUCCCUGCGAACAAUUCGAAAUUGCCUUCAAUGCCGUUGAAAGUUGGCUUGUUGACCGGGCAGUUCUACCCAUUGAGAAUUCUCUAGGGGGGAGCAUCCAUCGGAAUUAUGAUCUUUUACUUCGAUAUGGGUUGCAUAUUGUUGGGGAAGUGACACUUUCAGUUCGGUAUUGCUUGCUUGCCAAUCAUGGUGUGAAAAUUGAAGACCUGAAGAGGGUUGUUAGCCAUCCUCAAGCUCUUGCGCAGUGUGAGAACACACUAACAAAGUUCGGGGUGGUCAGAGAAGCUGCAGAUGAUACUGCUGGUUCUGCACAAUUCGUUGCUGCCCAAAAACUCCAAGAUACAGGUGCAGUUGCGAGUUCUCGUGCUGCACAGAUCUAUGAUUUAAAUAUUCUUGCCCAAGAUAUUCAGGAUGACUCCGAUAAUGUAACUCGAUUUCUCAUGCUCGCUAGAGCUCCAAUUAUUCCGGGCAAAGACAGGCCAUUCAAGACAAGUGUAGUUUUUUCUUUAGAGGAAGGACCUGGUGCACUUUUCAAGGCGCUUGGUGUUUUUGCCAUGAGGAAUAUCAACCUUACGAAGGCAUAUUCUGACAUCUCUUUUCACUAAACAUUCUUUUUAUCUGUUAAUCUACCUGUUAGCUUUUAUUUUUCUCCCUUAAGAGUAUCCAGACUGUGAGUGCUCGUCCUUUAUUCUCUCUUCUUAUUCCUCAGAUUGAAAGUCGUCCGCUGCGGAAGAAGCUGCUGCGUGUACACGACUCCAGUAAUGGGAGUCCAAAGUACUUUGACUAUCUUUUCUAUGUGGAUUUUGAAGCAUCUAUGGCAGAUGAGAAUGCACAAAAUGCCCUUAGGCAUUUAAAGCUGGAGAUUGCUACGUUCUGUAGAGUUUUGGGGAGCUAUCCAGUGGACAUGAGUGAGGCUGGAACUACUUGAAGCCAGGAUAGGGAAUUGAACUGGAGUCUCCACAUGUGGAGUGAUGACUUUGAGAGGCGUGCUCUUAGAGAUUUGCUUGGGAGCGCACCACAUACCAUGUGAUCAUACCAUUUACCAAAGUCAACAGCGUACUUGCUAACCAUGGAAGCAUGUAGAUGAAUGUCUUAAUUGACAAGGAGAGGGGGCUUCCAUGUUCUGGUUUGUCAAAAUUUUGAGGCAAAUAAGGUUAGAAUUAUAGCUCAAGAUUUUUGUAGAAAAGAAGUUUGUAAGAUUCAAUAUGUAAGCAUUGGUUAUCUUUAUGAAUUGAGAAUUGCAUUGAUUUAUCCACCACCUUUUGAAUAAUAACAUCAUGCCUGCCCAUUGGCAGAACAUAGCAUUCUCAAA
Magnolia sinica is the source of this 1818-nucleotide RNA transcript. It is a transcript of the gene named arogenate dehydratase 2-like, with no coding region annotated. The record is from RefSeq and is a predicted model, not a curated record. The transcript has 13 exons. NCBI's taxonomy places the organism in Eukaryota, Viridiplantae, Streptophyta, Magnoliopsida, Magnoliales, Magnoliaceae.